GUGCUUGCUUCCACAGCACAUACACUAAAACUGCAACAAUCCAGAGAAGAUUGGCAUGGCUCCUGCGCAAGGAUGACACGCAAAUGCAGGAAGCCCCCAUAUUUCAU
This 107-nucleotide small nuclear RNA is filed under the name Chinchilla lanigera (long-tailed chinchilla). The record is from RNAcentral. Lineage: Eukaryota; Metazoa; Chordata; Mammalia; Rodentia; Chinchillidae.